CCUACGGGUGGCAGCAGUGGGGAAUAUUGGGCAAUGGGCGCAAGCCUGACCCAGCAACGCCGCGUGAAGGAAGAAGGCUCUCGGGUUGUUAACCUUCUUUUACAGGGAAGAGCAGAAGACGGUACCUGUCGAAUAAGCUACGGCUAACUACGUGCCAGCAGCCGCGUUCAUACGUAGGUUGCAAGCGUUGUCCGGAUUUACUGGGUGUAAAGGGCGUGUAGCCGGGCUGAUAAGUCAGAUGUGAAAUCCGGGGGCUCAACCCCCGAACUGCAUUUGAAACUGGUAGUCUUGAGUAUCGGAGAGGUAGGCGGAAUUCCUGGUGUAGCGGUGAAAUGCGUAGAUAUUAGGAAGAACACCGGUUGCGAAGGCAGCCUGCUGGACGACAACUGACGGUGAGGCGCGAAAGCGUGGGGAGCAAACAGGAUUAGAUACCCCUGUAGUC
This 442-nucleotide ribosomal RNA is filed under the name uncultured bacterium. Its description in RNAcentral is "partial 16S ribosomal RNA". It matches the Rfam family "Bacterial small subunit ribosomal RNA", at positions 338 to 795 of the family's 1533-position model. The record is from RNAcentral.